Molecule: long non-coding RNA, 5842 nt
Organism: Ostrea edulis (European flat oyster)
Lineage: Eukaryota; Metazoa; Mollusca; Bivalvia; Ostreida; Ostreidae
Exons: 2
Source: RefSeq, a predicted model, not a curated record
UGUGUGAUACAAGUAUUGUCAAUACCACAUACUAGUACAUCAAAACAGGAAAUUACAGCUGUUGUUUAGUGUCACGUAGUGUUCCUGUAUUGCAUUCAUUCUUAUUUCAGUGUUAUCAAAAUGUAUAUGCAUACCAAAUACUAUGAUGGUAUUGUUUUUGUUUUUACAGCUUCCCUUGAAGACUUGGAUGUUGUAAACCUGCAGUGAAAAAUAUACCUGCUUAAUUAAAUGAAACCAUCCAUAACAAUAGGAAACAUCAUGAUUAAAAGACCCUGGAAAGGGAUCAUGAAAACUGUUGGGAGUGUCCAUUCAACUGAAAUACCAAAGUCAGUUGAAGAUUGUAAUUUAUGCAACAGAAGUGACCUAACAUGACCAAAUUGAUAUGAAUAGCCAGUCCUUCGCUUACAGUUAUUACAAGAGUCGCCACAAAGAAAAGGCUUUAGCGUACAUUACACCUAAUGCAGCUCAUUUCAAAUCUGUAUGCUGGAUACAAAUCUAAUUCGGCAAUCGUGAACCAUUGUGGCAUUUUGGAGAAGUUACAAGUUGGUGAUAUGUUCCUGGCGGACAAAGGAUUUUGUGUAUUUGACAAACUUCCAAAUGACAUGACACUUAAUGUCCCACUAUUGUUUACCAAUAAUUCCACUUCCCAAAAGAGGAUGCACAGCUUUGCUAUAAGAUUCGCAGAGGCAGAAUCCAUGGAGGAUGGGAAAAUGAGAGAAUAUAUCUUUUUUUAAAUCCUGAGCCAUAUUCUAUCACAGUAUAGAUAUUGAUCUGACAAAAUAUUUCAGAUUUGUGUGGCCAAUGUGAAUUUGCAGGUUCCCCUUUUGAAGGAGAUUGCAGAUAAAUCCUACAAACUUAUUAGAUUAAUUGCACUUAUAUGUAUAAUUUAAAUCUGCACAUACCUCAUCUAAAAUAAGAAAAACCUGUCUAUAAAGUUUAUUGAACAGAGGAUGCUUACUGCUCCUAGGCACCUGAUCCCACCUCUGGUGUGUCCAGGGGUCCGUGUUUGCGCAACUAUCUAUUUUGUAUUGCUUGUAGGAGUUAUGGGAUUGAUCACUGUUCGUUAUCUUCACCUUGCAUAUAUGUAAUUACAUAACUUUGAUAGAUGCACCACUGAUAUCAUAGUAAAGUAUAUGUAAAUGUGGUUAUGUGUGUGUGUUUUAUAAUUCAAUCGGUGAAAUUGAAAGAAUUUUCUAGCAUAACAAAGACAGCAAAAUACUUUUUUAUUAUAAUAUUAUAAUUAAACUCUCUCUCGCUUGAAAUGUUUUUGACCAUAAUACAUUUUUGUCGAUGUGAACUCUUUGAGUGUCAAUAGGAGUCCACACUAGGAAAUCACAGCAUAGGGUGUCUUUCAGGUGUUGUUGUCCUUGGAUGUGGUGUCAAUAUUCAUACUGUCUUUUGAGGUGCAGCGAACCAUCGCUUGCAUCACAUUCUUAAAUGGCAAAUGUCAUUACAUAAAUUGAUAAAACAUGUGUACAACAUGAUUUACAAGUGCUUUGAUUAGGAGUAAAGGUAGUAUACUACACACAUACUUAUUUUGUACUGCAGUAUUCAAAACAUGAUGCGAGUAAGGUUAAAUUCACAAUAAAAGAAAAACAUUAACAGUUCAAUAUCACAAUGAAACCUAAGUAGUACUUGUCUCUCAUUCAAAAAACGUUACUAUAAAGUUAUAAUAAACUGGGGUACAUUCAUAAAAUAUGAAUACAUUUUAAAAGUACAGCUAAUGUACGUACAUUGGGUACACAUACAUGUAAUUGUUCACUCUAUAAUGCUGACUUACCAAGAGGGAAAUCCCAACAUUUGCCUCUUUAAUUGUCAUUGCUCGAGCUGAAAAUGGGCAUUUAACCCCAAUUAAGAAUUUCAGGCGUUGCUUACAAUGGCCUGUUGUCCUGAUGAAUGAGGAUGCAGUUCAUUCCUCCAUUGUCGUUGUGACCUUUGGCUGUGUCGACUUUGGAUAUUUUAUCCAACUACCGGUGUAUUUUACAUCAGUUUUAUUUGCCUUCUUAUAUCUGAAAAUUUCCAAUAUAUCUACAUGUAACAUUUUUAUCUUUGGGUAUAUGAUAAUCAUAAUAGAUAAAGAUCCAAACACGUAUUGACUUUGUUUUUAUCUUUAAAUUGUAUACAUGCCUCUGAAAACUUCUUAUGGUUGAUGUUUUAUCUGUUAUACAAUUUUAACUUAAUUCUAACUCACCACUUAUUACAUUAUGCAUCUUCAGUUUUAUACACAUAAUACAUACUAUCGAAUAAAAAUUAUGGAGCCAUGUCGUGCUACCAGUUGGAUAUAGCUACAGAAACAUGGUACAGGGUCUAAGGUGUAGCAUUUGGCGACGACCGCAUAAUUAGGGCCCCGCAUAAAAUGCGGGAAGCCCUAUAGUAAUGACAUUGUCCGUCCGUCCGUCCGUCCGUCUGGCCGUCCGUCCGUCAACACUUUCUUUGCGACACGAUAACUCAAACAGUUUUUAUCGUACAGUUUUCAAAUUUUGUACAGAAAUAAUGUACAAUAAGAGGACGAAGCCUAUAGAUCUUGGGGUCAUUUCACUGUGUCUGUCUGUACGGCAUGAUCUUUCUCAUUAUGAACAUUUUCUUUGUUACACAAUAACUCAAACAGUUUUCAUUGUACAGUUUUCAAAUUUUGUACAGAAAUACUUUACAAUAAGAGGAAGACACCUAUAGAUUUUGGGGUCAUGUCACUUUGUCUGUCUGUCUGUAUGUGUGUCAUUAUCUUUGUUAUUAUGAACACUUUCUUUGUGACACGAUAACUCAAACAGUUUUCAUUGUACAGUUUUCAAAUUUUGUACAGAAAUGCUUUACAAUAAGAGGAAGAUACCUAUAGAUUUUGAAGUCGUGUCACUUUGUCUGUCUGUUUGAAUGUCGUCAUCUUUCUUAUUAUGACCGUAUUUAUUUACCACUGUCUAAGGGAGAUAAUUCAAUUUGAAUUAUGAUAUGUAUUGUAUUGAUAUAUAGAAAAUUUACAAGAAAUAACUCUACAACAUUGUGUAUGUGUAUAUAUUUGGUUUUUUUUAAUGUGAUAUAAAAAAUGCUUGAUGUUACAUGUAUAUUGAAUUAAAACACGUCAUUCGCAGUCAGCAACUAUCGAUCGGGAUCGGAAUGAGAAAUAAAAUUUCUUAUAUCCGGUUGCAAAGUGAAACUGCUUCAUGCUUCAAGUUGUUGAAUUAUGUAGUAAUUGCACGUUACACAUUAGAGAACUGUUCCUUUUAAUAAAGAAAGUCACAAAAUAGAUACAAAAUGAGUGUACCUUAUUCAUUACUGUUAGCGAGCUUUCGUCGGCGAAAAUCUCGAAAUGGCGUGUUUCACUGUGCUUGUUGACGGUAAGGUCCACAUUUUCUAUGUGAGUAUUUUUAUAUUUCAUCAUGAAUUUUUUGCGCAUACAUGGUAUGUCUCGGCUAGGAAUAAUGGAAACGUUCUCACUUAUGUAUGUAAAGACAUAUUAAUCUCUAUUUUUAAAAAUGUAGAACACUUUUAUCAAAUGACAAUGUGUUUGAAAACGCUUAGAGCCCCGAUGUCAGAAUUUCCUUUUCCAAGACAUCAAUAUGUCAAAUUCAUAAUCCUUUUAGAAUAGGAUGUACCAUAUUUUGCACCAGUUAUCCAUUUUGAAUCCUCUUUUAGAAUGGGAUUUUGUUGCACUCUGUUGUGUUUGAGUGGAUGUCAUGAGUGUGUGUCAAACAGAAGUAAUAUAAAUUGCAUAAGUCUCUCACAAUUAUGCUUCAUCAGCUCUUAUACUUGGACGAAUUUCGCUCCACUUUUUUGGCACGCUGUUGUUUGCUAUAAUUAGCUCUAAAACUUCAUAGUUAUUUCGGAUUUCAAACAUUUCGGUUGAGCAUCACUGAAGAGACAUUAUUUGUCGAAAUGCGCAUCUGGUGCAUCAAAAUUGGUACCGUAUAAGUUUUACAUGAUGCCUUUUUCACAAAUUGGCAUUCCAAUGUAUCUUUAUAUAUUAUUAAUUCUAACAUAUAUACCAGCUCCAAACAUUGCUAUAUCAAAUACAGAUGUCACUUACCUCUAAUAUUACCCUCGACGGGGCCCUUGCUGACCGUGUCAGUUUUCUAGUUCUUGCCUGACGACGAUCUCAAAAUUGUUGUUUGGCAUAAUUUUGAUUAAUAACUAAUAACUAGUGGCACUCUAUUAUCAAAAUUUUCUUUGGCGAUCCUACUCUAAUUCUUUUCUGUAUACAUUUUAGUUAUUUCACAUGUAUAUACAUACCUACAUCCCUGUUACUAAUAUUACUAAUUAUUACCUUCUAUUAAAAUCAAAAUAAAUAUCAAAUAUUCUGUUAUUCAUAUAAAAUAUUAAAAUAUAUUAAACAUAAAUUAUUAUUAAAAUUAUUAAAUAAAUCAAAUAAAAUUUAUUGUUAGAAUUAUUAUAUAAAUUAAAUAAAUUUUCCUUUUAAAUUUAAUAAAUAUCAUUAUUUAAAUUAUUAAAUAAAUUAUUUAAAUAAAGUAUUAAAUAAAAAUUCUUAUCACUAAUAAAAAUUAUUAUUUAUAUUAUAAUUUAAAUAAACCUUAUUAAAUAUAUUCAAUAAAAUUAUUAAAUAAAAUAAUAAAUUUCUUUUUUAAUUUUAACACUUAUUUAUAAUUUUCAAUUUUAUUACUUAUUUAUCAUUAAAUCAAUAUCAUUUUAUAAUAUAUUUUUUUAUAUAUAAAAUAUAAGUUACUUCUUUAUUUCAUUAUGAUUUAAGACCUAUGACCACCUGUAUGUGUCCGGCCAUCAAAAGACAGUACCGCAGUCAUCAGAUGUGUUGGUACACGAUGGUCCUUAUUUAUUUAUUAUUAUUUAUUUUUAAACCAUGGGACAACCGAUACGUCCCAUACGGAGCAUAUGUAUGUUAUUAAAACACACUUCAACUUCACUAUGAUGGUGCAUUUGGGAGGUGUUGGAGGGUGAGGCUGGAUCGCAAAGAGAUGGAUAGUAUUAUGGAUGAUAAUAGUCACCAAUCGGUUAACGAUAUAUAGUCAACCAAUCCUACGAAUAUCAAACAAACUAAUGGUAUAGAUUAACUUCAUACUAUUUCAUUGAACCAGCUUGAGAUUAUAUAAUUGAAACCAUCUUUUAUUGAACAUAAUUCAUCCUUACUCAAAAAUUCUAUUAUUUGAAGGUGGGUAAAAUUAUUCAAAAUUAAGUUCAAAGUUAAGAAACACGGUUUUCAGAAAACUUAGAUGGGGGAUUUUAUACUGUUUUUCAAAAAUGUUAACCUAAAAUUUUGAUAUUGCUGUUUCAUGGUAAGAGAAUGAAUAUCCAAUGUCUCAAAACAAAAGAAAUGUUGAUACAUGUAAAUUAAAGGAAAAUUGUGUUCAUUCCUUACAAUAUUUCUAUGAAGUCGACGUUUUCGAGAUAUUUAUUUAAAAUCACGGCGGUAUGACAAGCAUGUGGUUAAACUCAAGAUAACAUUCAUAACACAUGAUUCAUUUAUUUGAAUUGGGUUUGGAAACACUUCAAAAUUCAAUCUCCGAUAUUAAACAUUGUUUGUGCUCCUAGAAAUAAAUCUGUCGAUUUACACGUACGCUUUAAACCUUUCAGUGGAAAAUGACAUUGUUCUGAUUUUUGAAAAACGGUAUAAAAUCCCCCAUCUAAGUUUUCCGAAAACCGUGUUUCUCAAAAUUGCCAAAAUAUUUAAAAAGUCAGAUUAAUGCUGUAUCCUAAGAUAUAACUCUGUCGAUUUGCACGUAAGCUUAAUACAUGUUUGGGGACAAUGACAUCGUUCUCAUUUUUGAAAACCUGACUUAAUAUUGUCCAUUAGAACUAUGUAGCAAAUUCUUUCAGAAAGUCGUGUUCUGCAUUUUAUCAAUUUCUCAACAGAGUCGGGCUACUGACAAAUAUGCGAAAA